UCCUGACCCCCUGAAUGAAGGAGGUCCUGAGCCCCUGAAUGAAGGAGGUCCUGAGCCCCUGAAUGAAGGAGGUCCUGAGCCCCUGAAGGAGGUCCUGACCCCCUGAAUGAAGGAGGUCCUGACCCUCUGAAUGAAGGAGGUCCUGAGCCCCUGAAGGAGGUCCUGACCCCCUGAAUGAAGGAGGUCCUGAGCCCCUGAAUGAAGGAGGUCCUGACCCUCUGAAAGAAGGAGGUCCUGACCCCCUGAACGAAGGAGGUCCUGAGCCCCUGAAGGAGGUCCUGACCCCCUGAAUGAAGGAGGUCCUGAGCCCCUGAAUGAAGGAGGUCCUGAGCCCCUGAAUGAAGGAGGUCCUGAGCCCCUGAAGGAGGUCCGUACCCUCUGAAUGAAGGAGGUCCUGACCCCCUGAAUGAAGGAGGUCCUGAGCCCCUGAAUGAAGGAGGUCCUGAGCCCCUGAAUGAAGGAGGUCCUGAGCCCCUGAAUGAAGGAGGUCCUGAGCCCCUGAAUGAAGGAGGUCCUGAGCCCCUGAAGGAGGUCCUGACCCCCUGAAGGAGGUUCUGACCCCCUGAAGGAGGUUCUGAGCCACUGAAUGAAGGAGGUCCUGAGCCCCUGAAUGAAGGAGGUCCUGAGCCC
Fundulus heteroclitus (mummichog) is the source of this 630-nucleotide long non-coding RNA. RefSeq lists it as uncharacterized. The transcript is spliced from 4 exons. Lineage: Eukaryota; Metazoa; Chordata; Actinopteri; Cyprinodontiformes; Fundulidae. The record is from RefSeq and is a predicted model, not a curated record.